Molecule: ribosomal RNA, 439 nt
Filed under: uncultured archaeon
Lineage: Archaea
Description: bacterial SSU rRNA
Rfam family: Archaeal small subunit ribosomal RNA
Source: RNAcentral
GGACCUGACUGCUAUCGGAUUGAUACUAAGCCAUGCGAGUCAUUGUAGCAAUACAAGGCAGACGGCUCAGUAACGCGUAGUCAACCUACCCUAUGGACGGGAAUAACCUCGGGAAACUGAGUAUAAUGCCCGAUAGAACAUUAUACCUGGAAUGGUUUAUGUUCCAAAUGAUUUAUCGCCGUAGGAUGGGACUGCGGCCUAUCAGUUUGUUGGUGAGGUAAUGGCCCACCAAGACUAUUACAGGUACGGGCUCUGAGAGGAGUGGCCCGGAGAUGGGUACUGAGACACGGACCCAGGCCCUAUGGGGCGCAGCAGGCGAGAAAACUUUGCAAUGUGCGAAAGCACGACAAGGUUAAUCCGAGUGGUUUCUGCUAAAGGAACCUUUUGUCAGUCCUAGAAACACUGAUGAAUAAGGGGUGGGCAAGUUCUGGUGUCAGCC